AGCGAACGCUGGCGGCAGGCUUAACACAUGCAAGUCGAGCGGGCACUUUCGGGUGUCAGCGGCGGACGGGUGGGUAACGCGUGGGAACGUGCCCUCUGGUUCGGAAUAACUCAGGGAAACUUGAGCUAAUACCGGAUACUCCCCUUUGGGGAGAGGCCUGCUGCCGGAGGAUCGGGGGGCGUCUGAUUAGCUAGUUGGUGAGGUUACGGCUCACCAAGGCGACGAUCAGUAGCUGGUCUGAGAGGCUGAUCAGCCACACUGGGACUGAGACACGGACGAGAAUCCUACGGGAGGCAGCAGUGGGGAAUCUUGGCCUAUCGGGGCGGGGAUGAUCGAGCUAGGGCGGGUGAGUGCUGAAGGUGGUAGGGUAGUAAAGCUGGUUUAUCCGGGACGAUAAUGACGGUACCGGAGGAAUAAGCCCCGGCUAACUUCGUG
This 435-nucleotide ribosomal RNA is filed under the name uncultured bacterium. RNAcentral describes it as "partial 16S ribosomal RNA". It matches the Rfam family "Bacterial small subunit ribosomal RNA", at positions 30 to 507 of the family's 1533-position model. The record is from RNAcentral.